RNAcentral lists this ribosomal RNA (1995 nucleotides) under Triticum aestivum (bread wheat). RNAcentral's name for it is "partial small subunit ribosomal RNA". The record is from RNAcentral. Lineage: Eukaryota; Viridiplantae; Streptophyta; Magnoliopsida; Poales; Poaceae.
GGGCUGCGAAUAACUUCCAGAGUAGCUAGACCAAAAAAAAACCAUUUAUACUCGGGCUUCUCGGGCGGUACCGACAUCACCCUUGAUGGCACAGCCACGGUUACACCAGAUGGGGUUCUCAAGCUCACCAAUGACACUCUUCACCUCAAGGGCCAUGCUUUCUACCCAACCCCAUGGCGAUUCGCAAGUCGCCAACGGGGCGGUGCAAUUUUUCUCCAUCACAUUCGUGGUCGGCAUGGUCCCUGUCUACUCCGAUCAAUGUACUGAUGGCAUGACUUUCUUGAUAUCUCCCACCAAGGAUUUCUCGGGUGCACAACACUCUCAAACCUGAGCCUCCUCAACAAAACAAGCAAUGGCAAGCCAAGCAACCAGAUAUUUGCAGUCGAGCUUGAUAGCAGCCAAAAUACAGAGUUCGGCGACGUCGAUGACAACCAUGUCGGCAUCGACAUCAAUAGCCUCACCUCCACUGAAGCCCGACCGUCUGGCUUCUAUGAUGACAAGAGCAACGGCGUCUUCAACAACUUGUCCCUCGUUAGCCGCAAGGAAAUGCAAGUGUGGGUAGAUUAUGAUAGAGAUACCACUUAGAUCAGUGUGACCUUGGCCCCCCUCAAGGUAGCCAAACCGUGGAGGCGACUAGUUUCAACCACGUACAACGGCCUCUCAACAGUACUACAAGAUCAGUCCUACCUCGGAUUCUCGGCUUCAACUGGUCCGAUAAACUCACUGUAUUGUGUGCUUGGCUGGAGCUUGGGCAUAAACCGUCCUGCACCAGACAUUGACAUCACCAAGCUGCCAAAGCUACCUCGGAUUGGCCCCAAACCUCAGCCCAAAUUUAUGCAGAUCGUCCUACCAAUAGCCACUGCCACAUUCAUCUUUCUUGUUGGAACAACUAUAUAUCUAUUGGUGCGGAGGCGAAGGAGGUAUGCCGAGCUACACGAAGAUUGGGAGGAUGAGUAUGGGCCACACCCCUUCCUUCUCCNGGAUUUAGUCCAUGCUACUCAAGGAUUUCAUGAAAAGAACCUACUUGGCCAUGGAGGAUUUGGGAAGGCGUAUAAAGGCGUGCUUCCGGUCUCUAAACUCGAGGUUGCGGUGAAGAGGGUGUCCCACGAGUCAAAGCAGGGGAUAAAGGAGUUCAUCGCCGAGAUUGUUAGUAUCGGCCGUAUCCGCCACCGCAACAUAGUCCAGUUACUGGGUUAUUGUAGGAGAAAAGGUGAACUUCUAUUGGUCUAUGACUAUAUGUCAAAUGGUAGUCUUGACCAGUACCUACAUGCAUCAUCAAGAACUGGAGGAGGAUUUGAAAUCACUCUAGAUUAGGCUCGGAGAUUUGAAAUCAUCAAAGGCGUUGCAUCCGGCUUAUUCUACCUUGAUGAGAGGUUGGAGAAAGUUGUCAUCCAUCGAGACAUCAAAGCAAGCAAUGUGCUUCUCGAUAGUGAAAUGAAUGGACGCCUAGGUCUAGGUGACUUUGGCCUUUCAAGGUUGUAUGACCAUGGCACCGAUCCACAAACAACGCGUGUUGUCAGCACCAUGGGGUAUUUCGCUCCGGAGCUAGCGCGCACCGGUAAGGCAACGCCUCUAACAGAUGUGUGCGCAUUUGGCAUUUUCAUCCUCGAGGUAACUUGCGGACGGAGGCCAAUUAUUGACAACGGUCAGGAAGAGGAUGACGGUUCGGAGAUAAUGAUUGACUGGGUUGUGGAGCAUUGGCGCAAAGGGUCGCUCACAGACACGCUGGACAGGAGGCUACGAGGCAGCAACUGCAACCCCGACGAGGUACAUCUGGCGUUAAAGCUGGGAUUGUUGUGUGCGCAUCCGUUCGGCAAUGUAAGGCCCAGUAUGCGGCAAGUCAUGCAAUACCUCGACGGUGACACGCCCCUCUCUGAGCUGAUGCCCACAAACUUGAGUUAUAGCAUGAUGGGCGUAUUGCAGAAUGAUGGUUUCAGCCAGUACGCAUCAUUGAGUGCCGCAGUUAGCAGCAGGAAUGGAAGUCAUUCUGAAUAA